GGGGGCUCCAAAAUGGACAACCACAGGGAUGCGCCAGGGAAGGCGAGCCGGUGGUUCGGAGUGUCCCAAUCCAAGUCGGCCAAGACCAGCGUGAACAUCCUGCAGCAGGAGGAGCUGAUCGCCCAGAAAAAACGGGAAAUCGAGGCCCGGCUGGAGCAGCAGGCGCGGCAGAAUUCCCUCAGCAUCCCGCAGCUCCCGCUGCUCGGAGACGACGAUGGCUCCGAGAGCGAGGCCUCAGUGUCCAACAAGUUUGUGAACGAUGGGAGCUUUCUGCAGCAAUUCCUGAAGCUCCAGAGGGAAAAAUCCAAUGCUGAAACUCCUCCAAAUCCCCCCAACAGCUCUGGGAAUGCCCCAGCUCCAAACCCCGGGAAGAAGCCGGCGCUGCUGGGGAAGCGGCCGGGCCAGGCCCUGAGCCGGAUGCUCCAGGCCCGGAGCCUCUCCCAUCCCAAACCCAGCCCCGUCCUGAGCCGCCUCAGCGUCUUCCAGGGCCCAGAUGAGGAUGAGGAAGAGGAUUACGAGCAGUGGUUGGAAAUCAAAGUUUUGCCCCCAGAGGACUCGGAGACGCGGCAGGUGGUGGAAAAGCUGGCCAGGUUCGUGGCUGAGGGCGGCCCCCAGCUCGAGAAGGUGGCCAUGGAGGACUACAAGGAUAAUCCCGCUUUUUCGUUUUUGCAUGAUAAGAACAGCAGGGAAUUCCUUUACUACAGGAAGAAAGUGGCAGAAAUAAGGAAAGAAAAUCAAAAUUCCCAGGCAGCCUCUUCCCAAAAAGCCCGGCUCGAGGCCUCCCGGGGGCGCUUGGGCCGGGCUUGGCUGGGCGGGGCUGAGGCGGGCCCAGGACUAAUCCCUGCCCAAAGUUUCCCCCCCAGCCGAGCUGGAGACGCGGCGCUCGGCCGAGAAACUGGCGCAGAUGGUGGCGGCGGGGGGGCCCGAGGUGGAGGCCAUCGCCCUGCAGAACAACAGGGAGAACCCCGCCUUCAGGUUCCUGUACGAGCCGCACAGCAAAGGGCACCGCUACUACCGCCAGAAGCUGCAGGAGCUGCGCAGGGCCUGCGCCGGGGGCUCCCCUUUUCCCGGGAAUUCCCCUUUUCCCGGGAAUUCCCCUUUUCCCAGCAAUUCCCCUUUUCCCGGGGGCUCCCCUUUUCCCGGGAAUUCCCCUUUUCCCGGAGAAUCCGGCCUCAAACCCGGUCCCGAGGCUUCUCCCUCCCCCGUGUGCUUCCCGCCCCUCCCCAUCCCCAUCCCGCCGCCUCUUCCCGCUCCUCUUCCCGCUGCUCUUCCCAUUCCCUCGGCCUCUCCUGCCCCAUCCUCAUCCUCCACCUCCCCUCCGGAUCCGCCGGCCCUGAAUCCCGCUCCGAUCCCAAAUCCCGCUCCGAUCCCAAAUCCCGCUCCGAUCACGAAUCCGGCCAUGACCCCAAAUCUGGCCCCGAUCCCGAAUCCGGCUCCGAUCCCAAAUCCGGCUCCGAUCCCACAUCCGGCCCCGAUCCCGAAUCCGGCCCCGAUCCCGAAUCCGGCCGCGAGCCCCAAUCCGUGCUGGAGCCCCGGGGCCGGCGCGAUCCCGAAUCCCGGCGCGGGCGGCAGCAAGAGGAAGAGGAAGAGCCGCUGGGGGCCGGAGGAGGAGAAGGUGGAGCUGCCCCUGCCGCAGCUGGUGCAGCAGCUGGAGUCACCCACACCCCUCUCAGUUCAGGACCUGAAGGGGCUGGGAUACGAGAAGGGCAAACCCGUGGGAUUGGUGGGAGUCACGGAGCUCUCCGAGGCCCAGAAGAAGCAGCUGAAGGAGCAGCAGGAGAUGCAGCAGAUGUACGACAUGAUCAUGCGGCACAAGCGGGCGAUGCAGGAGAUGCAGCUGCUGUGGGAGCGGGCGCUGCAGCAGCACCAGCACGGCUACGACAGCGACGAGGAGGUGGACAGCGAGCUGGGAACCUGGGAACACCGCCUGCGGCGCAUGGAGAUGGACAAAACCCGCGAGUGGGCGGAGCAGCUGACGCAGAUGGGCCGAGGGAAACAUUUCAUCGGAGAUUUCCUCCCUCCGGACGAGCUGGAAAAAUUCAUGGAGACCUUCAAGGCGCUCAAGGAGGGCCGGGAGCCGGAUUAUUCCGAGUACAAGGAAUUCAAGCUGACGGUGGAAAACAUCGGAUACCAAAUGCUGAUGAAAAUGGGAUGGAAGGAAGGAGAGGGAUUGGGAUCCGACGGGCAGGGAAUUAAAAAUCCCGUCAGCAAGGGCACCACGGCCACGGACGGGGCGGGAUUCGGGAUCGAGCGCCCGGCCGAGCUCACCAAGGAGGACGACGAGUACGAGGCGUUCCGCAAGCGCAUGAUGCUGGCGUACCGCUUCCGGCCCAACCCGCUGAACAACCCACGGCGACCUUACUACUGAGGAGGGCUUUUCCCAACAGAUUUCCCAGGAAUUCUUAUCCCAAACUUCAUUCUCCAUCUCUUUUCCCCCGAUAUUUCCCAGGUUUUUUUUUUUUUUUGGAAUCACAGCUCCUCCUUCCCCCAUGGAAAA
Pseudopodoces humilis (Tibetan ground-tit) is the source of this 2497-nucleotide non-coding RNA. NCBI's taxonomy places the organism in Eukaryota, Metazoa, Chordata, Aves, Passeriformes, Paridae. The record is from RefSeq and is a predicted model, not a curated record.